GGCCAGGCCCGGUGCGACGCCGGCGAGCUAACCCCGUCAGGACUGGAAAGUAGCAGCGGUACGCGGAAGUCGACGUGUGCAUCGCCAGCCUGGCCCAC
RNAcentral lists this signal recognition particle RNA (98 nucleotides) under bacterium. RNAcentral's name for it is "signal recognition particle sRNA small type". It matches the Rfam family "Bacterial small signal recognition particle RNA". Rfam says of the family: The signal recognition particle (SRP) is a universally conserved ribonucleoprotein involved in the co-translational targeting of proteins to membranes. Archaeal SRP consists of a 7S RNA and homologues of the eukaryotic SRP19 and SRP54 proteins. In most bacteria, the SRP consists of a 4.5S RNA and the Ffh protein (a homologue of the eukaryotic SRP54 protein). The record is from RNAcentral.